UUCGGAGCAUGAUUUCUGGUAGAAAUAUAAAAUUGAAAAAUCUAUAAUAAUUACAAUUUUAUUAAAAGUUUGUUUUUUGUUUUUCCAAUAAUCAUGAAUAUUGCUUAGAAUUUCUAAAAAUAAUCCCUUGAUUCGUCAACUAGAUCUAAAAUUCUACAGAAACGCUUUUUUGUCGUUUUUUAAUUGAAAUAAGAUGUCCGGCAGAUAAUAUUGUACAAAAAACAUAAAAAAAAAAAACUCCUAUACACUAUUAUGUCUCUAUCGAUUCGAAACACACAUC
Molecule: non-coding RNA, 280 nt
Organism: Cinara cedri
Lineage: Eukaryota; Metazoa; Arthropoda; Insecta; Hemiptera; Aphididae
Source: the annotation of a GenBank genome assembly